RNAcentral lists this transfer RNA (58 nucleotides) under Apaloderma vittatum (bar-tailed trogon). It matches the Rfam family "tRNA", at positions 8 to 63 of the family's 71-position model. From Rfam's summary of the family: Transfer RNA (tRNA) molecules are approximately 80 nucleotides in length. Lineage: Eukaryota; Metazoa; Chordata; Aves; Trogoniformes; Trogonidae. The record is from Rfam by way of RNAcentral.
UAGCUCAGUCAGUAGAGCGUAGCGCUAACAACGCUAAGGCCGCGGGUUCGAUUCCCGU